This 639-nucleotide ribosomal RNA is filed under the name uncultured fungus. Its description in RNAcentral is "eukaryotic LSU rRNA". It matches the Rfam family "Eukaryotic large subunit ribosomal RNA", at positions 38 to 667 of the family's 3401-position model. Lineage: Eukaryota; Fungi. The record is from RNAcentral.
GCAUAUCAAUAAGCGGAGGAAAAGAAACUAACAAGGAUUCCCCUAGUAACGGCGAGUGAAGCGGGAAGAGCUCAAAUUUAAAAUCUGGCAGGCUACGCUUGUCCGAAUUGUAAUCUCGAGAAGUGUUUUCCGCGUUGGCCUGUGUACAAGUCCCUUGGAACAGGGCGUCAUAGAGGGUGAGAAUCCCGUCCUUGACACAGACACCCAAUGCUUUGUGAUACACUCUCAAUGAGUCGAGUUGUUUGGGAAUGCAGCUCAAAAUGGGUGGUAAAUUCCAUCUAAAGCUAAAUACUGGCGAGAGACCGAUAGCGAACAAGUACCGUGAGGGAAAGAUGAAAAGCACUUCGGAAAGAGAGUCAAACAGUACGUGAAAUUGUUGAAAGGGAAACGAUUGAAGUCAGUCGUGCCUGCCUAGUCUCAACCUUUUGGUGUACUACUAGGUCGGCAGGUCAGCAUCAGUUUGGGAGGAUUAACAAGGGAGCUAGGAAUGUGGCAACCUCGGUUGUGUUAUAGCCUAGUUUCGCAUUGAUCUUGCUGGACUGAGGAACGCAGUGCGCCCGCAAGGGUUGGUCUUCGGACACAUUCGCACUUAGGAUGCUGGCAUAAUGGCUUUAAACGACCCGUCUUGAAACACGGACC